GACUCGUCACACUAUCAUUAACUGAAUCCAUAGGUUAAUGAGGCGAACCGGGGGAACUGAAACAUCUAAGUACCCCGAGGAAAAGAAAUCAACCGAGAUUCCCCCAGUAGCGGCGAGCGAACGGGGAGGAGCCCAGAGCCUGAAUCAGCAUGUGUGUUAGUGGAAGCGUCUGGAAAGGCGCGCGAUACAGGGUGACAGCCCCGUACACAAAAGCGCAUGUGCUGUGAGCUCGAUGAGUAGGGCGGGACACGUGGUAUCCUGUCUGAAUAUGGGGGGACCAUCCUCCAAGGCUAAAUACUCCUGACUGACCGAUAGUGAACCAGUACCGUGAGGGAAAGGCGAAAAGAACCCCGGCGAGGGGAGUGAAAAAGAACCUGAAACCGUGUACGUACAAGCAGUGGGAGCACAGGUUUACCUGUGUGACUGCGUACCUUUUGUAUAAUGGGUCAGCGACUUAUAUUCUGUAGCAAGGUUAACCGCAUAGGGGAGCCGGAGGGAAACCGAGUCUUAAUUGGGCGUUAAGUUGCAGGGUAUAGACCCGAAACCCGGUGAUCUAGCCAUGGGCAGGUUGAAGGUUGGGUAACACUAACUGGAGGACCGAACCGACUAAUGUUGAAAAAUUAGCGGAUGACCUGUGGCUGGGGGUGAAAGGCCAAUCAAACCGGGAGAUAGCUGGUUCUCCCCGAAAGCUAUUUAGGUAGCGCCUCGUGAAUUCAUCUCCGGGGGUAGAGCACUGUUUCGGCUAGGGGGCCAUCCCGGCUUACCAACCCGAUGCAAACUGCGAAUACCGGAGAAUGUUAUCACGGGAGACACACGGCGGGUGCUAACGUCCGUCGUGAAGAGGGAAACAACCCAGACCGCCAGCUAAGGUCCCAAAGUCAUGGUUAAGUGGGAAACGAUGUGGGAAGGCCCAGACAGCCAGGAUGUUGGCUUAGAAGCAGCCAUCAUUUAAAGAAAGCGUAAUAGCUCACUGGUCGAGUCGGCCUGCGCGGAAGAUGUAACGGGGCUAAACCAU
RNAcentral lists this ribosomal RNA (1015 nucleotides) under Salmonella enterica subsp. enterica serovar Cerro. RNAcentral's name for it is "partial 23S ribosomal RNA". It matches the Rfam family "Bacterial large subunit ribosomal RNA", at positions 137 to 1190 of the family's 2925-position model. The record is from RNAcentral. Lineage: Bacteria; Pseudomonadati; Pseudomonadota; Gammaproteobacteria; Enterobacterales; Enterobacteriaceae.